This 460-nucleotide ribosomal RNA is filed under the name uncultured bacterium. RNAcentral describes it as "partial 16S ribosomal RNA". It matches the Rfam family "Bacterial small subunit ribosomal RNA", at positions 338 to 795 of the family's 1533-position model. The record is from RNAcentral.
CCUACGGGAGGCAGCAGUGAGGAAUAUUGGUCAAUGGGCGGGAGCCUGAACCAGCCAAGUCGCGUGAGGGAAGACGGUCCUACGGAUUGUAAACCUCUUUUGCCGGGGAGCAACGGGGUCCUUGCGAGGGCCCAAUGAGAGUACCCGGAGAAAAAGCAUCGGCUAACUCCGUGCCAGCAGCCGCGGUAAUACGGAGGAUGCGAGCGUUAUCCGGAUUUAUUGGGUUUAAAGGGUGCGUAGGCGGGCUGUUAAGUCAGCGGUCAAAUGUCGGUGCUCAACACCGGCCUGCCGUUGAAACUGGUCUUCUUGAGUGAGCGAGAAGUAUGCGGAAUGCGUGGUGUAGCGGUGAAAUGCAUAGAUAUCACGCAGAACUCCGAUUGCGAAGGCAGCAUACCGGCGCUCAACUGACGCUGAGGCACGAAAGCGUGGGGAUCGAACAGGAUUAGAUACCCUAGUAGUC